This 668-nucleotide long non-coding RNA is filed under the name Nicotiana benthamiana. RNAcentral describes it as "long non-coding RNA (NBEN_LNC002462)". The record is from RNAcentral. Lineage: Eukaryota; Viridiplantae; Streptophyta; Magnoliopsida; Solanales; Solanaceae.
CAUUAUUGUUCUUGUCUUUAUAUUAUUUCAUAACAAAUUAGUUGUUAAAAAUAAAUAAAUAAUUUUAAUUUCUAUAAAAAUAGAUUGAUUUAAGAUUUUAAUUGCUUUAGAGAAAAAAAAACCAAAAAAUAGAAAUAAAAAAAUAGGAAGAAGGCCCAAAUUAAUUUUAAACCCCAAUCCAAUUCCAAUCCCACUACCCAAAUACCCAUUACUCUUUAUACUAGCUCUGCCUGUACACAUACACAAUUAAAAAAGACCUAUAGACAGACGAGAAAGGGCGCAGCUCCCCCUCCUUCUUCUUCUUCUGGAUUUUUCUCUAAACCAGACGGACUCUCUUUCUCUCUCAAGCAAAAGAAUAAAAAUGGACCUCACCCCUAUUUUCCCAAAGAUACGGCAGAAAGCAUAACAAAAAAGCUCACUCAAAAUUUCUUAGAAUUUGAAGCUUUCUUCUUUUGCUUUCAAGUUUUUGUUUUCUGAGAUUUAGAAGAGGAACGGAUUCUUGAAGCUGUGGUUUUGAAUUUCUUCUGCUGAAUUUCCAACUUAAUUCCAGACUUUCAUUUGGUUUGUUUAGCUGAUUUGGUCAUAUUUAGGUAUGUUCUUCAUUUGGUUCGUCAACACUUGUUUGCACGCAGUCUUUACUCUUUAGGGCAAUAAUCAGCAGAACGGUG